RNAcentral lists this transfer RNA (71 nucleotides) under Ignavibacteria bacterium. Its description in RNAcentral is "tRNA-Met". It matches the Rfam family "tRNA". From Rfam's summary of the family: Transfer RNA (tRNA) molecules are approximately 80 nucleotides in length. The record is from RNAcentral. Lineage: Bacteria; Pseudomonadati; Ignavibacteriota; Ignavibacteria.
AGCGGGGUGGACCAGUAGUAGGUCGCGAGUCUCAUAAGCUCGAGGCCCUGGUGCAAUUCCAGGCCCCGCAA